This 441-nucleotide ribosomal RNA is filed under the name Tetragnatha sp. GH19-GH27. RNAcentral describes it as "partial 16S ribosomal RNA". It matches the Rfam family "Bacterial large subunit ribosomal RNA", at positions 1829 to 2600 of the family's 2925-position model. The record is from RNAcentral. Lineage: Eukaryota; Metazoa; Arthropoda; Arachnida; Araneae; Tetragnathidae.
UUUUUUAAAAAUUUUUUAAAAUAAAACCUGCUCAAUGAACAUUAAAUAGCCGCAGUAUUUUAACUGUGCUAAGGUAGCAUAAUCAUUAGUCUCUUAAUUAGAGACUAGAAUGAAUGGUCCCACAUUUUCUUUUCUUUUCUAUUUUAAAAAUUAAAAUUUUAAUAAGUAUAAAAAUAUACUUAUAAAUAAAUUAGACGACAAGACCCUUUCAAACUUUACUGAAGUUUAGCUGGGGAAGCUAAAUAAUCAAAAUCUUACCUUAAGACUUUUCAAAAGACCUAAUAUAAUUUAACUAACUGAAAAAGUUACUGAAGGGAUAACAGCAUAAUAAAUUUAUAAAGUUCUUAUAUAAAAAUUAGAUUAUGACCUCGAUGUUGAAUAUUUCUCCUUUUAGGCGCAAGAGCAUAAAAAGGAGGUCUGUUCGACCUUUAAAUAUUUACA